CACCAUUUCCAAUCAAGAUCCAAGAAAAAGAAAAGUCUUAAUUUAAAUCAGCAAAAAAAAAAAAAAAAAAAACACAGAUCAAUUACUAACCUCCGUGACUAGAUUUACUAAGAAUGGGGGUUAUAAUUUGCCAGGUAGAAUCAUCAUCAUUUAUAAUUUGCCAGGUAGAAUCAUCAUCAUCAGCCUCAUCAACAAGCAAAACCCACUUCACUAGUCCAUCUUUCUUCUUCAUCUCCA
This 237-nucleotide long non-coding RNA is filed under the name Citrus sinensis (sweet orange). RNAcentral's name for it is "long non-coding RNA (CSIN_LNC002269)". Lineage: Eukaryota; Viridiplantae; Streptophyta; Magnoliopsida; Sapindales; Rutaceae. The record is from RNAcentral.